This 48-nucleotide non-coding RNA is filed under the name Schistosoma haematobium. The record is from RNAcentral. Lineage: Eukaryota; Metazoa; Platyhelminthes; Trematoda; Strigeidida; Schistosomatidae.
AUCCAGCUGAUGAGUCAUAAAUAGGACGAAACACGUGUCAAAAUAGAU